RNAcentral lists this ribosomal RNA (903 nucleotides) under Triticum aestivum (bread wheat). RNAcentral describes it as "partial small subunit ribosomal RNA". Lineage: Eukaryota; Viridiplantae; Streptophyta; Magnoliopsida; Poales; Poaceae. The record is from RNAcentral.
AUGAAGGUGAAAGAAAUUUAUUUGGCAGGGAGGGAGGUGGUUUUGAACUCGGGGAAUUUGGCCAGGAUUUGGAGUGAUCCAAUUAGGGGUGAAGAUCCCUUGCGAUAUAAAUUCCCGGCCCUGUUCAGUAUAUGUAAUUAUCAGGAAAUUACAGUAGCUGACUUCAAAAAAUUUGAAGGUGAGGACCUUUUUAGAAGGAAUCUUCAUCCGCCUCUAAAAGAUCAAUGGAAUGAACUGAUUGGGGUGGUGAACUCUUGGCAGCUUUCUGAGGAGACAGAUGGUAUUCAAUGGAGAUUGGGGAAUAAAGGAAAAUUCUCGACCAAAUCGGUUUACUCCUAUCUGGAGAGAAAUUUGGCAGGAUGUGAUUUUAGGUGGAUCUGGAAAGCAAAAAUCCCCCUGAAAAUUCAAAUUUUUCUCUGGCAACUAUUCCAAGAUGCGGUGUUGACAAGAGAUGUCAUGAAAAGACGAAAGUGGGCUGGGAAUCCUAAAUGCUCGUUAUGUAAUGAAGUGGAAACCUCACAACACCUCUUUUUUACUUGUCCUGUGGCUAGGGUGGUGUGGAGGACAGUUGGGUGUGUUCUUGGCACCUCGCUGUGUCCAAACAAUCUUUGGCAGUACUUCUCCUGGUGUUAUAUUUUCCUUCCUGAUGGGGCUAAAUUCUAUACUUUUGGUUUGGCAGCUAUGGGCUGGGCGAUUUGGAUCAGUCGCAAUCAGGCUACCUUUGAGCACAAAUCUCUUAAAAGUCCGUUUAAUGUGGUGUAUGCUGCUUGUGGCUUUUUGACAUAUUGGGCAGGUUUGAUGACUGGAGAGGAUAGGGAGUCCAUGGAGCGCGGAGCCAAGAUGCUGAGGUCGAAUGCAUCGGCGAUGAUGAGGAUAUGUGCACCUCCGGCACCGACGAACUGA